This is a long non-coding RNA of Onychomys torridus (southern grasshopper mouse), 4280 nucleotides long. RefSeq lists it as uncharacterized. Lineage: Eukaryota; Metazoa; Chordata; Mammalia; Rodentia; Cricetidae. The transcript is spliced from 7 exons. The record is from RefSeq and is a predicted model, not a curated record.
CUCAGGGAGAGAGAGGGAGGGAGGCUGGGCAAAGAGCAUCUGUUCCCUCCAUUCUCCUAGCUCCAUCGGCUGCCAACCUAGGGCCAUCGCCUGCCUCCAUCACCCCUUCGCCUGCCUGCCUACCACCCAAUCCCAAAUGGGUACUGGAUCAGGUGCCGAAUCUGGCUGCCUCCUCGGGCAUGGGCACGGCAGCUGCCACCCUGGUGCCCAUGGAGAUGGGAGGGGAUGAGUGGAGGAGCAGCGACAGGAGUCCUUGUGCUCUGGGAGGAAGAUGUGGAGAGCUGAAUGACAGACGGGGUGCCGCAUGAGGACACAAUGGAGGGAGCGUGCCAUCGCUAAGACCCCAAGGAAGAAGCGUGCUGGCCUCCAGUCAUCUCCCCGCUGAAGAUGGCCGUAUCCUGUAUCCUCUAGCCUGGUCUAUGCCCUCUGCAAGAGUCUUCAGCAGCACUGGAUUUCCCUAAUUCCUGGGUAGGCAGAGGCUGUAGGCCAUCAGCCUGGAAGAUCUGGAGAAAAAUGCAGCUUUGGGUAAAGUCAAAGGAGAGGCUAGAUGGCUCUCAGUGACAAGGCCUGCUCAUGGGAAGUAAGGGGGCGGAGUUGUUGCCCAUGCUGGGCGGAGCUUCGCUGGGCUGGGGGAGUUCUGAUUUUAACAUCUCUGGAAGCGGAUGGCAGCUUCAGAAGAAGCAAGGUUUCCACAGGAGAAGAGAAAGCAGGAGGUCUUCGGCCAACACGGACUGAGUACCUUGUGAUCCCUCACAAGGUUUAAGGCAAAGACAGGCAAGAUGAUUUGCACCUCCUGCCUCCCAGCAAUGACCCUGGAGUGAGAAGUGACCUGGAUUUAGGUGUUUCUUUAGAGUUGUGUAUGUUAGGAAUCCCGAAGAAGCCACUGUGGACCCAUCUAAUGAGGUCCUAGUCCAGGCUCGCUUACCAGAUGGGCAGAAGCAUUUGGAAGUGUUACCCUGCCUGCCUUUCGUCUGUUAUUCCACGAGAUCCUGCUGACUUGAUGGUCAUCUCUAGGGUUCUUCAGACACCAGCUCCCCUGGUGUGCGCGGCUGUCUGAUGUGGUAGUGUUGCUGUUCAGUGUGGCCUAAGACUGCAGACUGGUCCACCCUGGAAAGUGUGCUGACUGACCUGUCAGCAACUCCAAGGUUCCUGGGAAAGUGCAGUUGCUCGGUCAAUUUCUGUCUACUGUUGUGACUACAUGGCGUGUCCCAGGCCACUGUGUUCAGAAACCAGAACUGCCCCCAACUGUGCCCUUCUUCUGGGGACGGCAAAGACUCUUGAACAAGGCUUUCCAACCACUGAGAAUGAGAUGCAUCCUGUAUCCUGAUACAUGUUCACCUCGGGGGAUGGGAGUCAUGUCUAUAUUACCAGUCCUCUCAGAGUCUUGGCACAGCAAGGCUGCAGAGCCUCCAGUCCUGUGGAUCGCCCAAUGAGGACUUCGAGGCAUCAGAGCUCAGAUUGGCCUGCAGCAAGGCUCACUGAGUCGGGGAGAGCCGGACAGGAAAAGAAGGACUUGUGAUUGGCAGCGGUGCUCUCUCAAGGCCAGCUCCUCCCAGCCCCCCAACUCACCGGAACUGAAAGAAGCUAUGCUUCCAAGUGGUGGCUGGGCCAGAGUCGGGCCUGGCAAGAGGACAGGAGCCAGGCGAGGCAGGGUCGGGGAAGCCCCCAAGGGCACGGAGGCGGGUGUGGCGGCCGGCGGCCCUUUGGGCGCCAGCGGGGCCUCGGGGGCUGGAGCUAAGUCGUAGCAUUUGCUUUCGCUCUUCAGCUGGGCUCGGACUGCCUCCUUGAGCUUGGCCAGGUGCUGGCGGGAGAAGAGGUGGCCUCGGCAGGAGACGUAGAAGUCGUACUUGACAUCACAGUAGGGGCAGUCGGUGCGCUGGGCCGCCGAGGAGCCCUCGCUGCUGCUCCCGCCGCCCCCGGCAGUUUGUGCUGACCCCUGCAGUUUGGCUUUCUUCUCCUUGGCACGAGCAUUUUGGAACCAGACCUGAAUGACUCUCUUGGGCAGUCCAAUUUCCUCCCCCAGCACCUCACACUCCUGCAUAGUAGGGGUGCGGUAGGCUUCAUAGCAGGCUUUCAUGAUCUUCAGCUGCAGGCUGCUCAUCUGGGUCCUGUAGCGCCGCUGCCCCAUUCCAUCUGGGACCCCAGCCCCACUUCCUGGCCCCCCACUGGUCCCCCCAGCCCCAGGGGACUCUGGCUCAGCCAGGCUGGAAGUGGAUGAGUCACUCAGGUCUCCUGCAGAUGGGCUGCAAGCCUCGUUUUCUGGAGAUACUUUAGAGGGGUCCUCUGGGCCUUCAUCCUCACUGAGUGCGGGGGCUGGGAGGGGCAGAGGGGGCUCUGGUGUUGGCACAGUGGCCUCCUUCCCCGGCGGUAGGAACGACAGAGGCCCCGCAGCAGGGGUGACGGCGGGGUAGGGGAAAGCGGGGGCUUCUCUCUUGGGGGCUUCCUUCCUGGUGUCGUCUUCCAUCUUGCUCAACAGGAGGUUGAAUUUGGGGAAGGGUGCGGGCGUGGGUGUAACGGUGGGUUUCACCGCUGGACCAGCUACUCCCCCAGGGGUGCUUCGAAACUGGCCUUUCCGCUCCCGGGCUCGGGUGUUCUGGAACCAGACCUGAACUACUCGCUUUUUGAGCCCCACCUCCUCAGAGAUGCAGUCGAGCAUCUUCCGCGUGGGGUUGGAGUCCUGCAUGUACCAGCGGUACAGGAUCUCGAGCUGCUCGGGCAAGAUGGUAGUGCGCAGGCGCUUGUCUUUGGGGGGUUCACCCUCUCCUCCACCUCCUGCUUCACUGCCCGUGGGCGACAGGCUGCCAUCGUCAUGCUUCCGCUUGAGGGGCGCCCCUGCCACCGAGGAGGCGCCCGACACUCCGGGGUUCCGCUCCCCGAACACCAGCAGAGGCAGCUCCAGGGGCUGUGGCGGAGCGCUGGGCUGCGCGCACGGUGGGAAAUGCAGUCUGCGGUGAGCCGCCAGGAGGUCCUGGCUGGGGAAGGACGCGGGACACUGGUCACAGGCGUGGGCGGGAGGCGACGGGCAUGCCUUCCCUUCCGACUCUUGGCCUUCGGGCCCUGUUGGCUCUGCUGGGCUCAGGGCCUCCCCACCCGCGGGGUCCGGUGACGGGCCGCCAGGCCCAUCUGCAGGGUCGGGGUUGCGCUCCUCCACCUCUUCUUCUUCCACCUCCUCUUCCUCCUCCCCUCCCUCGGCCUCCUCCUCCUCGGGAGGCUGGUCGUCAUCAUAGCACUUCUUGAGGUGCCGAACCAACUCGAAAACACAGGCGAAGGUGGCGUGGCAGCGUCUGCAGCCCGAGGCUCCCCCGGCAGUGCUUCCUCCGGCUGCCACAGGCCCGCCCUCACUGGCAUUUUUGCGGGCUUUCUGGCGGGCAUUCUGGAACCAGACCACCACCACACGACUAGCCAGACCCAGGAGGUUUGCGAGGCCGCUCCACCUCUCCAUCCUUGGGGUAGGCACUGGUCUCAAAGAAAGACUGCAGAGCCUGGGUCUGGAACUCUGUGAACUUGGUUCUGGAGAAGCGGCGGCCUGUGGGCACCGCGGGGGGCACAGUCCCUCUGGAGCCUUCCUCUUCCUCCGGGGGCCAGUGCGCCCCGGCCAGACUUCGCUCCUCACAAGUGUGGAUCCCUGCUACUUCGGGCUCUGCAACCAUGAAAGGUGGGCCUAGCUGGGGAGGUGACUCCAGGGACCCAUCGGGAGGUUUGGGGGGCUCUACCGGGGGUGGGUACAGGCUGUCAUAGCUCUUUCGAAACUGAGCUGCGUAACGACUCAGGGCCUCAAAGGGCAGAAAGCGGCGGUGAACAUGUUCCUCGUGAGUCUUGAGGAUAAGCAUGUUGGAGAAGAGUUUCCCACAGGCCCCACAGGCCAGCUUGUCUGCACCCCCCAGGGACUCUGGAGGAGGGGGCGUUGGGGGAGGGGGCACGGCCUGCUUCCCUUCGUUGUACUGAAUCACCAACUCAAAGCCAAAGUUUUCCAGAAGGGCCUUGGCUGCCGUGCGGGCAGCCUCACUGGGCGAUGUGUGGGGUGGUGAGGAGGGCCCUGCCUCACUCCCCUCUUCAGCUGUGAGGGGCCGCUCCCACUCCUGCUCGGCCAGCUCAGCCUUGGGGGGUGCAGGGAGAGGAGGUGGGGUGGCAGCUGGGAGGGACAGCAUGGGUGCAGGACCAGCCAGUGCCAGCUUGGGCCCCACUUUGAGGUCAUGGAUGUAGAAGGGGAGCAGCAGCUGCUGCUGCUGGAGCUUAAGCAGCGAUUCUGGAACCAGAGGGAAGGGGGGCAGGACUGGUGG